RNAcentral lists this unclassified non-coding RNA (267 nucleotides) under Hevea brasiliensis (rubber tree). Lineage: Eukaryota; Viridiplantae; Streptophyta; Magnoliopsida; Malpighiales; Euphorbiaceae. The record is from RNAcentral.
GGUCACCGUCCGUUCAGAUGAAAUCAUCCCGCUUCUGUUGCCUUCCGAACAAGUGAAUCAAGACAUUUGCCCUACGACGCCGUCUCCGUCGGAAUCCUGCCCUAUUAAUUGCUUCCGACCCGACCCGGUCUGCGGUGUUAACGGUGUGACGUACUGGUGUGGUUGCCCCGACGCACAUUGUGCUGGUGUGCGUGUUGUGAAAUCAGGGAUCUGUGAGGUGGGAAACGGAGGUUCUGCUCCGGUUACGGGUCAAGCGCUAUUGUUGAU